CAAGGAUACAUGAUGAAUCCAUAGUUCAGCUGAUUUUACUGUGAUGAACAGUCUUUCGCUCCUAUCUGAUGCAUCCUUG
Molecule: small nucleolar RNA, 79 nt
Organism: Pelobates fuscus (common spadefoot toad)
Lineage: Eukaryota; Metazoa; Chordata; Amphibia; Anura; Pelobatidae
Product: small nucleolar RNA snR60/Z15/Z230/Z193/J17
Exons: 1
Source: RefSeq, a predicted model, not a curated record